UGGGGAAUUUUGCACAAUGGGGGAAACCCUGAUGCAGCGACGCCGCGUGAUUUAGAAGGCCUUCGGGUUGUAAAAAUCUUUUGUAUGGGAAGAAAAUGACAGUACCAUACGAAUAAGGACCGGCUAACUACGUGCCAGCAGCCGCGGUAAUACGUAGGGGGCUAGCGUUAUCCGGAUUUACUGGGCGUAAAGGGUGCGGAGGUGGUCUUUCAAGUCGGUGGUUAAAGGCUACGGCUCAACCGUAGUUAGCCUCCGAAACUGGAAGACUUGAGUGCAGGAGAGGAAAGUGGAAGUCCCAGUGUAGCGGUGAAAUGCGGAGAUAUUGGGAGGAACACCAGUAGCGAAGGCGGCUUUCUGGACUGCAACUGACACUGAGGCACGAAAGCGUGGGUAGCAAACAGG
This 402-nucleotide ribosomal RNA is filed under the name Verrucomicrobiota bacterium. Its description in RNAcentral is "Verrucomicrobia bacterium partial 16S ribosomal RNA". It matches the Rfam family "Bacterial small subunit ribosomal RNA", at positions 355 to 776 of the family's 1533-position model. The record is from RNAcentral. Lineage: Bacteria; Pseudomonadati; Verrucomicrobiota.